This 73-nucleotide microRNA precursor is filed under the name Myotis brandtii (Brandt's bat). RNAcentral describes it as "mir-9193 microRNA precursor family". It matches the Rfam family "mir-9193 microRNA precursor family". Lineage: Eukaryota; Metazoa; Chordata; Mammalia; Chiroptera; Vespertilionidae. The record is from Rfam by way of RNAcentral.
CUUGGGGGGGGGUGUCCCUCAGCCCACAUUGCGAGAGGGUACAGGCCAGGCCGAGGGACCCCACCGGUGCAUG